UACGAAGGGGGCUAGCGUUGCUCGGAAUCACUGGGCGUAAAGCGCACGUAGGCGGAUUGUUAAGUCAGGGGUGAAAUCCUGGAGCUCAACUCCAGAACGGCCUUUGAUACUGGCGAUCUCGAGUCCGGGAGAGGUGAGUGGAACUGCGAGUGUAGAGGUGAAAUUCGUAGAUAUUCGAAAGAACACCAGUGGCGAAGGCGGCUCACUGGCCCGGUACUGACGCUGAGGUGCGAAAGCGUGGGGAGCAAACAGG
RNAcentral lists this ribosomal RNA (253 nucleotides) under uncultured bacterium. RNAcentral's name for it is "partial 16S ribosomal RNA". It matches the Rfam family "Bacterial small subunit ribosomal RNA", at positions 524 to 776 of the family's 1533-position model. The record is from RNAcentral.